RNAcentral lists this ribosomal RNA (903 nucleotides) under Microbacterium sp. Ume60. RNAcentral describes it as "bacterial SSU rRNA". It matches the Rfam family "Bacterial small subunit ribosomal RNA", at positions 60 to 973 of the family's 1533-position model. The record is from RNAcentral. Lineage: Bacteria; Bacillati; Actinomycetota; Actinomycetes; Micrococcales; Microbacteriaceae. RNAcentral also lists the same sequence under 1 other name.
AGUCGACGGUGAAGCCAAGCUUGCUUGGUGGAUCAGUGGCGAACGGGUGAGUAACACGUGAGCAACCUGCCCUGGACUCUGGGAUAAGCGCUGGAAACGGCGUCUAAUACUGGAUAUGAGCUCUCAUCGCAUGGUGGGGGUUGGAAAGAUUUUUCGGUCUGGGAUGGGCUCGCGGCCUAUCAGCUUGUUGGUGAGGUAAUGGCUCACCAAGGCGUCGACGGGUAGCCGGCCUGAGAGGGUGACCGGCCACACUGGGACUGAGACACGGCCCAGACUCCUACGGGAGGCAGCAGUGGGGAAUAUUGCACAAUGGGCGGAAGCCUGAUGCAGCAACGCCGCGUGAGGGAUGACGGCCUUCGGGUUGUAAACCUCUUUUAGCAGGGAAGAAGCGAGAGUGACGGUACCUGCAGAAAAAGCGCCGGCUAACUACGUGCCAGCAGCCGCGGUAAUACGUAGGGCGCAAGCGUUAUCCGGAAUUAUUGGGCGUAAAGAGCUCGUAGGCGGUUUGUCGCGUCUGCUGUGAAAUCCCGAGGCUCAACCUCGGGCCUGCAGUGGGUACGGGCAGACUAGAGUGCGGUAGGGGAGAUUGGAAUUCCUGGUGUAGCGGUGGAAUGCGCAGAUAUCAGGAGGAACACCGAUGGCGAAGGCAGAUCUCUGGGCCGUAACUGACGCUGAGGAGCGAAAGGGUGGGGAGCAAACAGGCUUAGAUACCCUGGUAGUCCACCCCGUAAACGUUGGGAACUAGUUGUGGGGACCAUUCCACGGUUUCCGUGACGCAGCUAACGCAUUAAGUUCCCCGCCUGGGGAGUACGGGCCGCAAGGCUAAAACUCAAAGGAAUUGACGGGGACCCGCACAAGCGGCGGAGCAUGCGGAUUAAUUUCGAUGCAACGCGAAGAACCUUA